Molecule: ribosomal RNA, 539 nt
Filed under: Penicillium coprophilum
Lineage: Eukaryota; Fungi; Ascomycota; Eurotiomycetes; Eurotiales; Aspergillaceae
Description: eukaryotic LSU rRNA
Rfam family: 5.8S ribosomal RNA (bases 161-313)
Source: RNAcentral
UGGGUCCAACCUCCCACCCAUGUUUAUUUUACCUUGUUGCUUCGGCGGGCCCGCCUUAACUGGCCGCCGGGGGGCUUACGUCCCCGGGCCCGCGCCCGCCGAAGACACCCUCGAACUCUGUCUGAAGAUUGUAGUCUGAGUGAAAAUAUAAAUUAUUUAAAACUUUCAACAACGGAUCUCUUGGUUCCGGCAUCGAUGAAGAACGCAGCGAAAUGCGAUACGUAAUGUGAAUUGCAAAUUCAGUGAAUCAUCGAGUCUUUGAACGCACAUUGCGCCCCCUGGUAUUCCGGGGGGCAUGCCUGUCCGAGCGUCAUUGCUGCCCUCAAGCCCGGCUUGUGUGUUGGGCCCCGUCCUCCGAUUCCGGGGGACGGGCCCGAAAGGCAGCGGCGGCACCGCGUCCGGUCCUCGAGCGUAUGGGGCUUUGUCACCCGCUCUGUAGGCCCGGCCGGCGCUUGCCGAUCAACCCAAAUUUUUAUCCUGGUUGACCUCGGAUCAGGUAGGGAUACCCGCUGAACUUAAGCAUAUCAAUAAGCGGAGGA